This 212-nucleotide long non-coding RNA is filed under the name Elaeis guineensis (African oil palm). RNAcentral describes it as "long non-coding RNA (EGUI_LNC015232)". Lineage: Eukaryota; Viridiplantae; Streptophyta; Magnoliopsida; Arecales; Arecaceae. The record is from RNAcentral.
UCAAUGGUCGAUUAGAUACCUCCUUCUUCUUAAUUUGGACUCUUUCAAAGAUGAGAAGUAGGAGAAGAAGUUUUAGAUGAGACACUCUCAGAAGACUUAUAGAUGGGGGAAGGAAAGAGAUGAACCCAGCAACUCUAGGAGAAGACCCUCUUCUUCUUCUCUUUGCUCUAACCCAGACAUCUAGUUUUGUGUCUAUUAGAUCUCCACUCCCC